This 253-nucleotide ribosomal RNA is filed under the name uncultured bacterium. RNAcentral describes it as "partial 16S ribosomal RNA". It matches the Rfam family "Bacterial small subunit ribosomal RNA", at positions 524 to 776 of the family's 1533-position model. The record is from RNAcentral.
UACGUAGGGGGCAAGCGUUGUCCGGAUUUAUUGGGCGUAAAGAGCGUGUAGGCGGUUAGGUAGGUCCGUUGUGAAAACUCGAGGCUCAACCUCGAGACGCCGAUGGAAACCAUCUAACUAGAGUCCGGAAGAGGAGAAUGGAAUUCCUGGUGUAGCGGUGAAAUGCGCAGAUAUCGGGAAGAACACCCGUGGCUAAGGCGGUUCUCUGGGACGGUACUGACGCUGAGACGCGAAAGCGUGGGGAGCGAACAGG